RNAcentral lists this microRNA precursor (100 nucleotides) under Prunus dulcis (almond). RNAcentral's name for it is "sRNA ncRNA". The record is from RNAcentral. Lineage: Eukaryota; Viridiplantae; Streptophyta; Magnoliopsida; Rosales; Rosaceae.
AAAUAGAUAUUUUAACAGUAUAGCCGCGAGGCUAUACGUUUUAUAUAUAUAAAUAUUUUAUAAGUAUAGCCGCGAGGCUAUACUGUAGAAGAAUAUUUUA